Molecule: ribosomal RNA, 253 nt
Filed under: uncultured bacterium
Lineage: Bacteria
Description: partial 16S ribosomal RNA
Rfam family: Bacterial small subunit ribosomal RNA
Source: RNAcentral
UACGUAUGGGGCAAGCGUUGUCCGGAUUUAUUGGGCGUAAAGCGCGUGUAGGCGGCCCGGUAAGUCCGCUGUGAAAGUCGGGGGCUCAACCCUCGAAUGCCGGUGGAUACUGUCGGGCUAGAGUGCGGAAGAGGCGAGUGGAAUUCCUGGUGUAGCGGUGAAAUGCGCAGAUAUCAGGAGGAACACCAAUUGCGAAGGCAGCUCGCUGGGACGUGACUGACGCUGAGACGCGAAAGCGUGGGGAGCAAACAGG